AGAGUUUGAUCCUGGCUCAGGACGAACGCUGGCGGCGCGCCUAACACAUGCAAGUCGAACGGAGUUAUUUUGGCAGAAGCCUUCGGGCGGACGCUGAUAUAACUUAGUGGCGAACGGGUGAGUAACACGUGAGCAACCUGCCCUUCAGAGGGGGACAACAGUUGGAAACGACUGCUAAUACCGCAUAAGACCACGGUGUGGCAUCACACAGAGGUCAAAGGAGAAAUCCGCUGAAGGAUGGGCUCGCGUCCAAUUAGCUAGAUGGUGAGGUAACGGCCCACCAUGGCGACGAUUGGUAGCCGGACUGAGAGGUUGAUCGGCCACAUUGGGACUGAGACACGGCCCAGACUCCUACGGGAGGCAGCAGUGGGGAAUAUUGCACAAUGGAGGAAACUCUGAUGCAGCGACGCCGCGUGAGGGAAGAAGGUCUUCGGAUUGUAAACCUCUGUUGUCAGGGACGAUAAUGACGGUACCUGACGAGGAAGCCACGGCUAACUACGUGCCAGCAGCCGCGGUAAAACGUAGGUGGCAAGCGUUGUCCGGAAUUACUGGGUGUAAAGGGAGCGCAGGCGGGAGAGCAAGUUGGAAGUGAAAUCUGUGGGCUCAACUCACAAAUUGCUUUCAAAACUGUUUUUCUUGAGUGGUGUAGAGGUAGGCGGAAUUCCCGGUGUAGCGGUGGAAUGCGUAGAUAUCGGGAGGAACACCAGUGGCGAAGGCGGCCUACUGGGCACUAACUGACGCUGAGGCUCGAAAGCAUGGGUAGCAAACAGGAUUAGAUACCCUGGUAGUCCAUGCCGUAAACGAUGAUUACUAGGUGUGGGAGGAUUGACCCCUUCCGUGCCGCAGUUAACACAAUAAGUAAUCCACCUGGGGAGUACGACCGCAAGGUUGAAACUCAAAGGAAUUGACGGGGGCCCGCACAAGCAGUGGAGUAUGUGGUUUAAUUCGAAGCAACGCGAAGAACCUUACCAGGUCUUGACAUCCCGUGCACAGCUAAGAGAUUAGUGAAGUCCUUCGGGACACGGAGACAGGUGGUGCAUGGU
Molecule: ribosomal RNA, 1043 nt
Filed under: human gut metagenome
Description: bacterial SSU rRNA
Rfam family: Bacterial small subunit ribosomal RNA
Source: RNAcentral